GUGUUUUAUCAUUUGAUUUUGCCAUUUGAAUAGGGACUUUCCGUUCAGUAUUUUUGUGACUGUACUUUUUUCAACUGAUUUGGAAACGUUUCAUAAAUAUUAAACUUAGUAAUUUAACUGCUUGUUAAGUACAAGUUUCUUUUUACAUAUAUGAUAUAUUAUGUAAAUUGAAAUGAAAUAUGUUAAUCAUAAUUCUGAGCCAAC
This 204-nucleotide long non-coding RNA is filed under the name Mytilus galloprovincialis (Mediterranean mussel). Lineage: Eukaryota; Metazoa; Mollusca; Bivalvia; Mytilida; Mytilidae. The record is from RNAcentral.